GCCAGUGUGGUGAAAUUGGUAGACACGUCGGAUUCAAAAUCCGAUUCCUUUGCGGGAGUGGCGGUUCGAGUCCGCCCACUGGUACCA
RNAcentral lists this transfer RNA (87 nucleotides) under Hahellaceae bacterium. RNAcentral's name for it is "tRNA-Leu". It matches the Rfam family "tRNA". Rfam says of the family: Transfer RNA (tRNA) molecules are approximately 80 nucleotides in length. Their secondary structure includes four short double-helical elements and three loops (D, anti-codon, and T loops). Lineage: Bacteria; Pseudomonadati; Pseudomonadota; Gammaproteobacteria; Oceanospirillales; Hahellaceae. The record is from RNAcentral.